Triticum urartu is the source of this 115-nucleotide non-coding RNA. The record is from Rfam. NCBI's taxonomy places the organism in Eukaryota, Viridiplantae, Streptophyta, Magnoliopsida, Poales, Poaceae.
UUUAUACUCCCUCCGUUCGGAAUUACUUGUCUCGGAAAUGGAUGUAUCUAGAAUUAAAAUACGUCUAGAUACAUCCAUUUCUGCGACAAGUAAUUCCGAACGGUGGGAGUAGGAA